Molecule: ribosomal RNA, 502 nt
Filed under: uncultured bacterium
Lineage: Bacteria
Description: partial 16S ribosomal RNA
Rfam family: Bacterial small subunit ribosomal RNA
Source: RNAcentral
AUUGAACGCUGGCGGAAUGCUUUACACAUGCAAGUCGAACGGCAGCACGGGUGCUUGCACCUGGUGGCGAGUGGCGAACGGGUGAGUAAUACAUCGGAACGUACCCAGUUGUGGGGGAUAACUAACCGAAAGGUUAGCUAAUACCGCAUACGACCUGAGGGUGAAAGCGGGGGACCGUAAGGCCUCGCGCAAUUGGAGCGGCCGAUGUCUGAUUAGCUAGUUGGUGAGGUAAAGGCUCACCAAGGCGACGAUCAGUAGCUGGUCUGAGAGGAUGAUCAGCCACACUGGAACUGAGACACGGUCCAGACUCCUACGGGAGGCAGCAGUGGGGAAUUUUGGACAAUGGGGGAAACCCUGAUCCAGCCAUUCCGCGUGAGUGAAGAAGGCCUUCGGGUUGUAAAGCUCUUUCGGCAGGGAAGAAACGCUCUGGCUUAAUACGCCGGGGUAAUGACGGUACCUGAAGAAGAAGCACCGGCUAACUACGUGCCAGCAGCCGCCGUAA